Molecule: ribosomal RNA, 402 nt
Filed under: uncultured bacterium
Lineage: Bacteria
Description: bacterial SSU rRNA
Rfam family: Bacterial small subunit ribosomal RNA
Source: RNAcentral
UGGGGGAUAUUGCACAAUGGGCGAAAGCCUGAUGCAGCGAUGCCGCGUGGGGGAAGAAGGUUUUCGGAUUGUAAACCCCUGUCUUCGGGGACGAUAAUGACGGUACCCGAGGAGGAAGCUCCGGCUAACUACGUGCCAGCAGCCGCGGUAAUACGUAGGGAGCGAGCGUUGUCCGGAAUUACUGGGUGUAAAGGGAGUGUAGGCGGGACGGUAAGUCAGGUGUGAAAUUUAUGGGCUCAACUCAUAAACUGCACUUGAAACUGCUGUUCUUGAGUGAAGUAGAGGUUGGCGGAAUUCCUAGUGUAGCGGUGAAAUGCGUAGAUAUUAGGAGGAACAUCAGUGGCGAAGGCGGCCAACUGGGCUUUUACUGACGCUGAGGCUCGAAAGCGUGGGGAGCAAACA